GAUGGGGAUGCGUUCCAUUAGUUAGUUGGCGGGGUAACGGCCCACCAAGACAACGAUGGAUAGGGGUUCUGAGAGGAAGGUCCCCCACAUUGGAACUGAGACACGGUCCAAACUCCUACGGGAGGCAGCAGUGAGGAAUAUUGGUCAAUGGACGAGAGUCUGAACCAGCCAAGUAGCGUGAAGGAUGACUGCCCUAUGGGUUGUAAACUUCUUUUAUAUGGGAAUAAAACAGGGUAUGCAUACCCUCUUGUAUGUACCAUAUGAAUAAGGAUCGGCUAACUCCGUGCCAGCAGCCGCGGUAAUACGGAGGAUCCGAGCGUUAUCCGGAUUUAUUGGGUUUAAAGGGAGCGUAGGUGGAUUGUUAAGUCAGUUGUGAAAGUUUGCGGCUCAACCGUAAAAUUGCAGUUGAAACUGGCAGUCUUGAGUACAGUAGAGGUGGGCGGAAUUCGUGGUGUAGCGGUGAAAUGCUUAGAUAUCACGAAGAACUCCGAUUGCGAAGGCAGCUCACUGGACUGCAACUGACACUGAUGCUCGAAAGUGUGGGUAUCAAACAGGAUUAGAUACCCUGGUAGUCCACACAGUAAACGAUGAAUACUCGCUGUUUGCGAUAUACAGUAA
RNAcentral lists this ribosomal RNA (618 nucleotides) under uncultured bacterium. RNAcentral's name for it is "bacterial SSU rRNA". It matches the Rfam family "Bacterial small subunit ribosomal RNA", at positions 224 to 842 of the family's 1533-position model. The record is from RNAcentral.